ACAUGCAUGUUGGAAAGGAAAAUUAGUCAUUCAGGUUGCUGAGGCCACUUUUAAUACAAAGCUUGGGCUAUAAACUAGAAGCAUAACUGCAUUUAUCCUACUAAGCUUCACUCUAGGAAAGUUCUUGCUCCCAACAUGGAGAGGUUUUGAUGGAACAUAACUCUGGGUAUUAACAGUGUCAGUCUUUGGAAUCACAUGCAGUAGUGCCUAAAAACUUGACAGCAGAUGGAAAAGCCUUUGGAUGAAUGUGUGAGAAGGAAACUAUCCUAACCAGCCAAUCUGCACAAAAUACUGACAUUUUUCCUGGCCAUGCCUUUGCUCAUAGUGUCCAUGGUCAUUUGGGAGAGAGAGCACCAAAUAAUCUGAAUACCAACGGAAAUGGACACAGGAGACACCAGAGAAAUGGAGUCCAAAUCACACAGGAUGUUAAUAAGCAUUUGAUGGACGAAUAGGAUUCUUAAGCUAACCAGUCUUAAGAACCAUUGUGUGGUGUCCUGGAAAGUGCAAUGGACAAAGGACCCUCAAAUCUGGAUUCUAAUCCUGGAUCUGCCAUCCUGGAUGCUUGGAAAACAAUAGUCUCUAAGCCUUGGUAAAAAGCAGAGAGCAAUCCUUUGGUGAAAGCUGUCAUGAGGAUUAAAUGAGACCAUAUAGAUGAAAGCUUCUUGUAAGGAGAGGGUAUCUAAGACUGUUAAUUUUUGCAUUCCAUGUGAACACUACAUUUCAGAAAAUAAAAACAGUAUACUUGUGGUUUUGA
This is a long non-coding RNA of Neofelis nebulosa (Clouded leopard), 754 nucleotides long. RefSeq lists it as uncharacterized. The record is from RefSeq and is a predicted model, not a curated record. The transcript has 2 exons. NCBI's taxonomy places the organism in Eukaryota, Metazoa, Chordata, Mammalia, Carnivora, Felidae.